This 253-nucleotide ribosomal RNA is filed under the name uncultured bacterium. RNAcentral's name for it is "partial 16S ribosomal RNA". It matches the Rfam family "Bacterial small subunit ribosomal RNA", at positions 524 to 776 of the family's 1533-position model. The record is from RNAcentral.
UACAGAGGGUGCGAGCGUUAAUCGGAAUUACUGGGCGUAAAGGGCGCGUAGGCGGCGUGGUAAGUCACUUGUGAAAUCUCCGGGCUUAACUCGGAACGGUCAAGUGAUACUGCUGUGCUAGAGUGCGGAAGGGGCAACUGGAAUUCUCGGUGUAGCGGUGAAAUGCGUAGAUAUCGAGAGGAACACCUGCGGCGAAGGCGGGUUGCUGGGCCGACACUGACGCUGAAGCGCGAAAGCUAGGGGAGCGAACGGG